Long non-coding RNA from Lycium barbarum (goji berry), 1273 nucleotides. RefSeq lists it as uncharacterized. The transcript is spliced from 2 exons. The record is from RefSeq and is a predicted model, not a curated record. NCBI's taxonomy places the organism in Eukaryota, Viridiplantae, Streptophyta, Magnoliopsida, Solanales, Solanaceae.
UAGUACAUCAUUACGUCGGUCCUUAUGUUUCUUGAAAUUAAUGUGUAGCAUUCAAGAAUAAUUGAAAAUAGAAACUUUGCCGAACAUAAUAGAUAACGGGGCAUCAGAUGGAUAUGUUGGGUCAGGCACCAUCUUUUUUUUUUUUUUUAAUUGUUUUUAUUACAUAGGGAUAGAGAAAGGAGAAGCGGGGGAGAAAAUUACAAUGUGAGUAUUUAAAUUCUCACCAAUAAAAUAAAAAUUCGGCUAGUCAAUCAACUAAGUUACUAAGUCCCUACUAGUCAGGCACCAUCUCUUUUAUCCUAAAAGGGCUUUUAAGAUUGUUCGGCAAAAAUAAUGAAUAAUUUUAGAGAAGAUGACCUAAUAAUGCUAGUGAAGGCUAUAUUACAAAACACAGGAGUACUUUUUCUUCUUUAUAAAACUACAUAAUAUACAAAAUUAAAAGGGCAUCCCUUCCCUUCCCGGUUCUACUUCAACCCAUAUUUCUUCAUCUCGCAACAACAACUCUUCUUCCCUACCCACUACUUCUCCGGAUCCCACCGCCGACAGUGCAACUCCGACUGAGGCACCCACAACGACCAGCGGCACCACCAUAUUGAAGGAACAAGAUUAAGAGAGAUCAAUGGUGGAACCAGUGGUUCAGGUGUUUGGAUCUCAGUUGUUGGCUAUCCCAUAGUGAUUUUUGGUUGAAGAGUAGUGGAGGGUUGGUUUUUAGAGGAAUUAAUGGUGGAACCUUGAGCUUCACCUUUCUCCACCGACGCCGAUGACGAAGCGGUUUCGUAGAUCUGGGCAGAACAAAAAGAAUGAAGAAGAAACAAAGAUGCGAAAUAAAUACUGCUUUUGGUGACGAAGAUGGAUUAGUGCUCUUUUUUUUCUUUUUCUUUUUUGUGAUGGAGGUGGUGUUAUUGGUGGUUUUCAUGGCUGAGUGGUGGUCGACAGCUCAACAGAGAUAUACAUAUUUCAUACCAAUUUGUCCCAAAGAAGAUUAGCAAGCUGAAUUCGACUUUUGUUUCACAUGAAUUUUAGAUCUUUAGGUGUUAAAUUAGGAGAUUGGUAAUGAAGUGUAUGAAUAAUGAUAGAAUCGGGACUUAUAUAAAGCAUAAAAUUGUAUGAAUAUUGAUAGAAUCGUGACUUAUGUUACAGAAAAUUGUAUUUUAAGUUUUCUAUGUUAUUGUAGUUGUAUUAAUUUGCGUGAAUAUUGUAUAAAAGGUGUAUAUAAUGUUGUUGUAGUUGUAUUAAAUUUCAUCCGGAUUUCGAAGUGAGAUUUAAAAUUGUA